This 64-nucleotide transfer RNA is filed under the name Loxodonta africana (African savanna elephant). It matches the Rfam family "tRNA". From Rfam's summary of the family: Transfer RNA (tRNA) molecules are approximately 80 nucleotides in length. Their secondary structure includes four short double-helical elements and three loops (D, anti-codon, and T loops). The record is from Rfam by way of RNAcentral. Lineage: Eukaryota; Metazoa; Chordata; Mammalia; Proboscidea; Elephantidae.
UUGGGGAUUCAGUGAUAGAAUCCUCGUCUUUCACACGGGUGACCUGGGUUCAAUUCCUGGCCGA